RNAcentral lists this ribosomal RNA (382 nucleotides) under Escherichia coli. RNAcentral describes it as "partial 23S ribosomal RNA". It matches the Rfam family "Bacterial large subunit ribosomal RNA", at positions 139 to 559 of the family's 2925-position model. Lineage: Bacteria; Pseudomonadati; Pseudomonadota; Gammaproteobacteria; Enterobacterales; Enterobacteriaceae. The record is from RNAcentral.
UUCGUCACACUAUCAUUAACUGAAUCCAUAGGUUAAUGAGGCGAACCGGGGGAACUGAAACAUCUAAGUACCCCGAGGAAAAGAAAUCAACCGAGAUUCCCCCAGUAGCGGCGAGCGAACGGGGAGGAGCCCAGAGCCUGAAUCAGUGUGUGUGUUAGUGGAAGCGUCUGGAAAGGCGCGCGAUACAGGGUGACAGCCCCGUACACAAAAAUGCACAUACUGUGAGCUCGAUGAGUAGGGCGGGACACGUGGUAUCCUGUCUGAAUAUGGGGGGACCAUCCUCCAAGGCUAAAUACUCCUGACUGACCGAUAGUGAACCAGUACCGUGAGGGAAAGGCGAAAAGAACCCCGGCGAGGGGAGUGAAAAAGAACCUGAAACCGU